CAGUCGCCGCGGGAAUACGUAGGUGGCAAGCGUUGUCCGGAAUUAUUGGGCGUAAAGCGCGCGCAGGCGGAUAGGUCAGUCUGUCUUAAAAGUUCGGGGCUUAACCCCGUGAUGGGAUGGAAACUGCCAAUCUAGAGUAUCGGAGAGGAAAGUGGAAUUCCUAGUGUAGCGGUGAAAUGCGUAGAUAUUAGGGAGAACACCAGUGGCGAAGGCGACUUUCUGGACGAAAACUGACGCUGAGGCGCGAAAGCCAGGGGAGCGAACGGGAUUAGAUACCCCCGUAGUCCCUGUCUCUUAUACA
RNAcentral lists this ribosomal RNA (301 nucleotides) under uncultured bacterium. RNAcentral's name for it is "partial 16S ribosomal RNA". It matches the Rfam family "Bacterial small subunit ribosomal RNA", at positions 509 to 809 of the family's 1533-position model. The record is from RNAcentral.